RNAcentral lists this ribosomal RNA (510 nucleotides) under uncultured bacterium. RNAcentral describes it as "partial 16S ribosomal RNA". It matches the Rfam family "Bacterial small subunit ribosomal RNA", at positions 28 to 507 of the family's 1533-position model. The record is from RNAcentral.
GACGAACGCUGGCGGCGUGCUUAACACAUGCAAGUCGAACGAAGAGCGAUGGAAGCUUGCUUCUAUCAAUCUUAGUGGCGAACGGGUGAGUAACGCGUAAUCAACCUGCCCUUCAGAGGGGGACAACAGUUGGAAACGACUGCUAAUACCGCAUACGAUCUAAUCUCGGCAUCGAGGAUAGAUGAAAGGUGGCAUCUACAUGUAAGCUAUCACUGAAGGAGGGGAUUGCGUCUGAUUAGCUAGUUGGAGGGGUAACGGCCCACCAAGGCGAUGAUCAGUAGCCGGUCUGAGAGGAUGAACGGCCACAUUGGGACUGAGACACGGCCCAGACUCCUACGGGAGGCAGCAGGGGGGAAUCUUCCGCAAUGGACGAAAGUCUGACGGAGCAACGCCGCGUGAGUGAUGACGGCCUUCGGGUUGUAAAGCUCUGUUAAUCGGGACGAAAGGCCUUCUUGCGAAUAGUGAGAAGGAUUGACGGUACCGGAAUAGAAAGCCACGGCUAACUACGUG